RNAcentral lists this transfer RNA (88 nucleotides) under Kiritimatiellia bacterium. RNAcentral describes it as "tRNA-Leu". It matches the Rfam family "tRNA". Rfam says of the family: Transfer RNA (tRNA) molecules are approximately 80 nucleotides in length. Their secondary structure includes four short double-helical elements and three loops (D, anti-codon, and T loops). The record is from RNAcentral. Lineage: Bacteria; Pseudomonadati; Kiritimatiellota; Kiritimatiellia.
GCCUGGGUGGUGGAAUUGGCAGACACUCGAGACUUAAAAUCUCGUGGGAGUUUCUCCCGUGCGGGUUCGAGUCCCGCCCCAGGCACCA